AGAGUUUGAUCCUGGCUCAGGACGAACGCUGGCGGCGUGCCUAACACAUGCAAGUUGAGCGGAGAUAUAUGGAGCUUGCUUUAUAUAACUUAGCAGCGAACGGGUGAGUAACACGUAGAUAAUCUAUCCUAUACUGGGGGAUAGCCCGAUGAAGGUUGGAUUAAUACCGCAUAUAGCUAUAUAGUUGCAUGAUUAUGUAGUGAAAGAUUUAUUGGUAUAGGAGGAGUCUGCGGCACAUUAGCUAGUAGGUGAGGUAAAGGCUUACCUAGGCGACGAUGUGUAGCCGGUCUGAGAGGAUGAACGGCCACAAUGGAACUGAGACACGGUCCAUACUCCUACGGGAGGCAGCAGUGGGGAAUAUUGCACAAUGGGGGAAACCCUGAUGCAGCAACGCCGCGUGAGUGAAGAAGGUUUUCGGAUUGUAAAGCUCUGUUAGCAGGGAAGAGGAAGGACGGUACCUGCAGAGGAAGCCACGGCUAACUACGUGCCAGCAGCCGCGGU
This 501-nucleotide ribosomal RNA is filed under the name uncultured bacterium. RNAcentral's name for it is "bacterial SSU rRNA". It matches the Rfam family "Bacterial small subunit ribosomal RNA", at positions 8 to 521 of the family's 1533-position model. The record is from RNAcentral.